UGGGGAAUCUUGCGCAAUGGACGAAAGUCUGACGCAGCCACGCCGCGUGAGUGAAGAAGGCCUUCGGGUUGUAAAGCUCUGUCGGAGGGGACAAAAACUGGAUUGGUUAAUAGCCUUUUCAAUUGAUGGUACCCUCAAAGGAAGCACCGGCUAACUUCGUGCCAGCAGCCGCGGUAAUACGAAGGGUGCAAGCGUUGCUCGGAAUUAUUGGGCGUAAAGGGUAGGUAGGUGGUAAUACAAGUCUGGGGUGAAAUCCCUGAGCUCAACUCAGGACGUGCCUUGGAAACUGUAUUACUAGAGUGCUAGAGAGGUUUGCGGAAUUCCUGGUGUAGCGGUGAAAUGCGUAGAGAUCAGGAGGAACAUCAGCGGCGAAGGCGGCAAACUGGAUAGCAACUGACACUCAACUACGAAAGCGUGGGGAGCAAACA
Molecule: ribosomal RNA, 428 nt
Filed under: uncultured bacterium
Lineage: Bacteria
Description: bacterial SSU rRNA
Rfam family: Bacterial small subunit ribosomal RNA
Source: RNAcentral